This 459-nucleotide ribosomal RNA is filed under the name uncultured bacterium. RNAcentral describes it as "partial 16S ribosomal RNA". It matches the Rfam family "Bacterial small subunit ribosomal RNA", at positions 338 to 795 of the family's 1533-position model. The record is from RNAcentral.
CCUACGGGGGGCAGCAGUGAGGAAUAUUGGUCAAUGGCCGAGAGGCUGAACCAGCCAAGUCGCGUGAGGGAAGACGGCCCUACGGGUUGUAAACCUCUUUUGUCGGGGAGCAAAGCGCGUCACGUGUGACUCCUUGAGAGUACCCGACGAACAAGCAUCGGCUAACUCCGUGCCCGCAGCCGCGGUAAUACGGAGGAUGCGAGCGUUAUCCGGAUUUAGUGGGUUUAAAGGGUGCGCAGGCGGAGGUGCAAGUCAGCGGUCAAAUUGCGGGGCUCAACCCCGUACUGCCGUUGAAACUGCAUCCCUUGAGUGCGCGAGAAGUAUGCGGAAUGCGUGGUGUAGCGGUGAAAUGCAUAGAUAUCACGCAGAACUCCGAUUGCGAAGGCAGCAUACCGGCGCUCAACUGACGCUGAGGCACGAAAGCGUGGGGAUCGAACAGGAUUAGAUACCCUAGUAGUC